CUGUCGCUGCACGACCGUAGCAUAGAGCCCCCCGAACAUGCGCACUUAUAACUACACAUUUUGUGCGCACGGAGACUCUUUCUGGACUCUAGAUCUUCGUCUGCAAGCUCCAGCUGCUCUGCUCACGUCCUUUGUUACACUCCAGCCAAUACGGAUAACCCACGACGCGAGAAACAACGUAUGCUGUAUUCCUCUAGUGGUACUGUACAACUGUAGCAAACGAUUCAUUCCGUACAAGCGUGAAUGCUACUUCAUCAUGGACCGAAGAAAACGUAAGCGCGCUCUGCGUACAGUCACCACCCCCAUGUAAUCUUUCAUUUACCACCCGCUCCUUUGGGUGCACAGGAGCUCCAAGGUUAGCUGUAGCACCUGAUGCCAGGCAGGAUGCUUGCACCCGGUGUAAGUAGGGAGUAGCUUGUCAGCUGUGUCACUAAUGUACUCAAUCAUUGCGACAUGCCUCUUGUGAAGCGAAUGUCUAGCGGCGGCUAGAGUGAUGAGGACGCCUGUGUUGGUGAAGGACACAGUUUUUAUCACACAGACUGUACCUUAUUCCAUGGUGCCAAGUUUUCACUAGUACACAUGCACUACUGUGUACUCCGCUUUGACAACCCUCUGUUAUCUCCUAUUAUUGCGACCCUUGUGCUCAUCCGG
Molecule: unclassified non-coding RNA, 651 nt
Filed under: Leishmania donovani
Lineage: Eukaryota; Euglenozoa; Kinetoplastea; Trypanosomatida; Trypanosomatidae
Description: gene:unknown
Source: RNAcentral